RNAcentral lists this ribosomal RNA (492 nucleotides) under uncultured bacterium. RNAcentral's name for it is "partial 16S ribosomal RNA". It matches the Rfam family "Bacterial small subunit ribosomal RNA", at positions 30 to 507 of the family's 1533-position model. The record is from RNAcentral.
AUUGAACGCUGGCGGCAUGCUUUACACAUGCAAGUCGAACGGUAACAGGCCUUCGGGUGCUGACGAGUGGCGAACGGGUGAGUAAUGCAUCGGAACGUACCCAGAGGUGGGGGAUAACGCAGCGAAAGCUGUGCUAAUACCGCAUGUGAUCUGAGGAUGAAAGCGGGGGACCGAGCAGCAAUGUUUGGCCUCGCGCCUUUGGAGCGGCCGAUGUUUGAUUGGCUAGUUGGCGGGGUAAAGGCCUACCAAGGCGACGAUCCGUAGCUGGUCUGAGAGGACGACCAGCCCAGCUGGGUCUGAGGCACGGCCCAGUCCCUUACGGGAGGCGGCAGUGUGGACUUUUGGACAAUGGGCGCAAGCCUGAUCCAGCAAUGCCGCGUGCGGGAAGAAGGCCUUCGGGUUUUAGUCCGCUUUUGGCAGGAACGAAACGGUGUCCGCUAAUACCGGGCGCUAAUGACGGUACCUGCAGAAUAAGCACCGGCUAACUACGUG